Molecule: ribosomal RNA, 265 nt
Filed under: uncultured bacterium
Lineage: Bacteria
Description: partial 16S ribosomal RNA
Rfam family: Bacterial small subunit ribosomal RNA
Source: RNAcentral
GUCCACGCGGUAAACGAUGAAUGCUAGGUGUCGGGGGAGCAAAGCUCUUCGGUGCCGCCGCAAACGCAUUAAGCAUUCCACCUGGGGAGUACGUUCGCAAGAAUGAAACUCAAAGGAAUUGACGGGGGACCCGCACAAGCGGUGGAGCAUGUGGUUUAAUUCGAAGCAACGCGAAGAACCUUACCAGGUCUUGACAUCCCGAUGACCGGCCCGUAACGGGGCCUUCUCUUCGGAGCAUUGGAGACAGGUGGUGCAUGGUUGUCGU